Molecule: long non-coding RNA, 2296 nt
Filed under: Rhinopithecus bieti (black snub-nosed monkey)
Lineage: Eukaryota; Metazoa; Chordata; Mammalia; Primates; Cercopithecidae
Description: lncRNA (ENSRBIG00000045845.1)
Source: RNAcentral
GCCUGCGGCAGUGCAGGAACCCAGCUGGGGCACCCUGACCCUCUGGCCAUGCCCUUCUGCUCCUGUGCAGGGGACAGCAGAGGGGAGCUCGGGGACUGACAUCCCAAAGGCCUGGUCCCCUCCUUGCUCUCGCAGCCAGUCCUUGCUCUAGGACAGCGACCCAUGUCUGCAGCCCGACCCAGCCCACCCACAGAGCCCGGCGUCCCAGAGCUGCUGGGGGGCACGGUGGUCGGGAAGUGAGUGGUUGGGCAGUCCUCCGCAGGGCUGCUGCCAGAUCUCAGCCUCGGAGGUUUCCCUGAAACAGAGCCAACGCCCGCAAAGACCUGGGCAGACCGCAGGGGCCAGGGGAUCAGGGGACCGGGUCCCUCAUUAGAGUCAGAAAAAUGCUCCCAGGAGGACGCCAGGCUGCUGAGGCCUGUGGCUGACACCAGGGGGCAGGGCGGGGCGGCGGGGACAGCGGCCGGAGGAGGGAGCCGCCCAGACCCAGCCCGGGGGCGAACGAAGGGCGGGCGUGGUGGGCGCCUGCUAGCUCCGGCUUGCGGUGUUGCGCCUUUGCGACAUCGCUCGGGGAGGGGAGAGCCCCGGGCCCGGCCGCCCCGCGCCGUGGCCGGGAAGGGGGACACAGCGCACGCGUGCGGCGCCCGACGGCGUCUCCCAGCACGCCCGAUCCCCCGUGCAGGCGGCGGCCCGGCCCCUUUCCAAGCACAACAGCGGCCCCGCCGCGGCCCCGCGCUGACCCACUUUCCCUCCCGCCUCCUCGGCCCGAGGCCGAGAAUCCAGCGGCCGCCGCCAAGCAGGGAGGUUGGGAAGAGACUUCUUGCUUUGCUCACGCCUGUAAUCCCAGCACUUUGGGAGGCUAAGGUAGGAACAUCCCUUGAACUCAGGAAUUCAAGCCAACCUGGGCAACAUAGCAAGACUUCAUCUCUACUAAAGGAAAAAACAAUCCAUUUUCCUCUUCUUCCAGCCCAACAGAUCUGUGGCUGGGCAGCAGCUGUUGAGCUCCACUACAUCUCCUGCCUGCUUUGCAGUUAGGCUUGUCCAUAGGACCAAGUUCUCAGCGACAGAGUAAGAGCAGGCCUGUGAUAGGAGGCUCUUCUGUACCUGGGCCUCCAAGCUGCCUAGAAUCUGGCUGUGGCAGUGCCCUAGGGGAGGUGAGCAGCGGGAGAGAAGGGUCCUGGGGUUUUGGGGGACCAGGAGGAGCAGAGCUGCUGCUCAGCCCAGACCUAUAACCUGAGAAAGUAAGAGUGAGGGCUCAUUUUAUGUGUUAACUUAAAUAUCUGGCCACAUUGCUCAGAUAUUUGAUUAGACACUAUUCUAGAUGUUUUUAUGGAGGUAUUUAUUGAUUGAUUUAUUGAUUGAUUGAGACAGAGUCUCACUCUGUUGUCCCGGCUAGAGUGCAGUGGCACAAUCUUAGCUCACUGCAACCUCUGCCUCCCAGGUUCAAGCGAUUCUCGUGCCUCAGCCUCCCAAGUAGCUGGGAUUACAGGCAUGUGCCACCAUGCCCUGCUAAUUUUUGUAUUUUUAGUAGAGAUGGGGUUUCACCAUGUUGGCCAGGUUGGUCUCCUGACCUCAAGUGAUCUGUCCGCCUCGGCCUCCCAAAGUGCCGGAAUUACAGGCCUGAGCUACCACACCUGGCAAAAGUAUUUUUUAAGAUAAGAUUAACCUUUAAAUCAGAAGAUUUUGAGUAAAGCAGAUUAUUCUCCACAAUGCGGGCAGAUCUCAUCCCAUCAGUUGAAGACCUUAAGAGAAAAGAGACUGACCUGCUCCGAGCAAGGAGGAAUUCUGCUAGCAGACUGCUCGUGAACUCCAACUUGGAAUAUCAGUCUCCAGCCUACCAGCUUACUCUGCAGAUUUUGGAUUUACCAAGCCUCCACAAUUGCAGAAGCCAAUUCCUUAAAAUAAAUCCCUUAAAACAGUUCCCUAAAAUAAAUUCUUCAAAAUUCCUUAAAAUAAAUAUGUGUGCAUGUGUGUGUCUGUGUAUAUAUAUAUCCUAUGUAAUGUCUAAUAUAGAUCUAUAAUAUAUAUUAGAUAAAUAUACACAUAUUUUUCAUAUAUAUGUGUGUGUGUGUGUGUAUGUUUCUCCUAUUGGUUCUGUUCUCUGGAGAACCUGACUAAUACUGAAACAGAUCUGUUUUUUCAUCUACCCUCUGUAUCAUCGGGUCUCUUUGUUAGAACAGGUGAGCCUUACCCUAACUAAUUCAGAGGUGGAUUCGUUUUCAUGCAUGUAGCUACUUCUUGUUUAGCUUCUAUUAUCUGCCUGUAUUUUAAGGUUCUUUGUCUUCAUAUGACUCCAGGA